GUGAACGCUGGCGGUAGGCCUAACACAUGCCCGUCGAACGGCAGCACCGUAAGAGCUUGCUCUUACGGGUGGCGAGUGGCGGACGGGUGAGGAAUACAUCGGAAUCUACUUUUUCGUGGGGGAUAACGUAGGGAAACUUACGCUAAUACCGCAUACGACCUACGGGUGAAAGCAGGGGAUCUUCGGACCUUGCGCGAUUGAAUGAGCCGAUGUCGGAUUAGCUAGUUGGCGGGGUAAAGGCCCACCAAGGCGACGAUCCGUAGCUGGUCUGAGAGGAUGAUCAGCCACACUGGAACUGAGACACGGUCCAGACUCCUACGGGAGGCAGCAGUGGGGAAUAUUGGACAAUGGGCGCAAGCCUGAUCCAGCCAUACCGCGUGGGUGAAGAAGGCCUUCGGGUUGUAAAGCCCUUUUGUUGGGAAAGAAAAGCAGCAGGUUAAUACCCCGCUGUUCUGACGGUACCCAAAGAAUAAGCACCGGCUAACUUCGUG
This 491-nucleotide ribosomal RNA is filed under the name uncultured bacterium. RNAcentral's name for it is "partial 16S ribosomal RNA". It matches the Rfam family "Bacterial small subunit ribosomal RNA", at positions 29 to 507 of the family's 1533-position model. The record is from RNAcentral.